GCCGGGAUAGCUCAGUUGGUAGAGCAGUGGACUGAAAAUCCUCGUGUCGGCGGUUCAAGUCCGCCUCCUGGCAUCA
RNAcentral lists this transfer RNA (76 nucleotides) under Synechocystis sp. PCC 6803. RNAcentral describes it as "tRNA-Phe". It matches the Rfam family "tRNA". Rfam says of the family: Transfer RNA (tRNA) molecules are approximately 80 nucleotides in length. Their secondary structure includes four short double-helical elements and three loops (D, anti-codon, and T loops). RNAcentral also lists the same sequence under 1 other name. The record is from RNAcentral. Lineage: Bacteria; Bacillati; Cyanobacteriota; Cyanophyceae; Synechococcales; Merismopediaceae.